Molecule: ribosomal RNA, 375 nt
Filed under: uncultured eukaryote
Lineage: Eukaryota
Description: SSU rRNA
Rfam family: Eukaryotic small subunit ribosomal RNA
Source: RNAcentral
AGCUCCAAUAGCGUAUAUUAAAGUUGUUGCAGUUAAAAAGCUCGUAGUCGAAUUUAAGACAAGAAUACCGUUGGUUGACCGUCAGGUUAUACUGAUGAGUUGAGUCUCAAUGAUCGGGGAGGUGGAUGAUCCUAGCGGGUGAUCCAAGGAACCGAGAUUUACUGUGAAGAAAUUAGAGUGUUCAAAGCAGGCGAUUGCUUGAAUACAUUAGCAUGGAAUAAUAGAAUAGGACAAUGAUCUUAUUUUGUUGGUUUGAGGAUCAUCGUAAUGAUUAAGAGGGACAGUUGGGGGCAUUAGAAUUCGGUAGUCAGAGGUGAAAUUCUUGGAUUUAUCGAAGACUAACUAGUGCGAAAGCAUUUGCCAAGGAUGUUUUCA